GCCCUUUAUUGCGAUCAGCAUCCACAUAUCAGAGAGAACAUUUGGCCUUUGGUUUCUCUUUUAAUUUUGAGAUGGUCUAGCUUGGUUACUGGGGUUGGCCUCAGACUUGGAAAUCUCCUACCUCAGCCUCCCAAGUCACAGGGUUUACAGGCAUGAGCCGUCACCUGACUCAACACUUGGUUUUAACGGACUUUUUGACUUUUUCCCAUCGAGUGGGUGUAAAAUAGUUUAAUCUACAUUCCUCUGUUGAAUUUUUUUUUUUUUUUUUGGUCAAGAUCCAUUGGCUACUGGUUUAUCUCCUCUACAAAUUGCCUCUUCUGUAUCUUUUCCUUAUUGAUUUCUCAGAGCUCUUUAUACAUUCUAGAUACACAUCCUUUGCCAGGAACAUCCCAUGAUUUUCACCCAAUUGUCUUUUACUUUACUCACAGCAUGUUCUGUUGUACCAAAAUUUGAAAACUGGAUGUAACCCAGUUUACCAAUCUUUCCUUUAUGGUUUGAACAUUCUUGUUUAAGAUUUUUUUUGGGCGGGCUGGGUUUGUGGCUCAGUGGUAGAGUGUUCUUCUAGCACACGUGAGGCACUAGGUUCGAUCCUCAGCACCACAUAAAAAUGAAAUAAAGAUAUUUAAAAAAAAGAUUUUUUUUUUGGUGUGUGGUACUGAAAAUUGAACCCUAGGGUACUUUACCACCAAGUUCCAUCCCAAACCCUUUUUAUUUUUUGAGACAAGUUCUUGAUCCGUUGCUGGG
RNAcentral lists this long non-coding RNA (744 nucleotides) under Marmota monax (woodchuck). The record is from RNAcentral. Lineage: Eukaryota; Metazoa; Chordata; Mammalia; Rodentia; Sciuridae.